GGACUACAGGGGUAUCUAAUCCCGUUCGCUCCCCUGGCUUUCGUGCCUCAGCGUCAGUUGAGACCCAGUGUGUCGCUUUCGCCACCGGCGUUCCUUCCGAUAUCAACACAUUUCACCGCUCCACCGGAAGUUCCACACACCCCUAUCUCACUCCAGCCACACAGUUUAGGGCGCAGUUCCCCGGUUAAGCCGGGGGAUUUCACACCCUACUUACAUGGCCGCCUACGCACCCUUUAAGCCCAGUGAAUCCGAAUAACGUUUGCACAGUUCGUAUUACCGCGGCUGCUGGCAC
RNAcentral lists this ribosomal RNA (292 nucleotides) under uncultured Planctomycetota bacterium. RNAcentral's name for it is "uncultured planctomycete partial 16S ribosomal RNA". Lineage: Bacteria; Pseudomonadati; Planctomycetota. The record is from RNAcentral.